GUAGUUGUGGCCGAGUGGUUAAGGUGAUGGACUAGAAAUCCAUUGGGUUCACCCUGCGCAGGUUCAAAUCCUGCCAACUACG
Molecule: non-coding RNA, 82 nt
Organism: Mauremys reevesii (Reeves's turtle)
Lineage: Eukaryota; Metazoa; Chordata; Testudines; Geoemydidae
Source: the annotation of a RefSeq genome assembly